RNAcentral lists this ribosomal RNA (460 nucleotides) under uncultured bacterium. RNAcentral describes it as "partial 16S ribosomal RNA". It matches the Rfam family "Bacterial small subunit ribosomal RNA", at positions 338 to 795 of the family's 1533-position model. The record is from RNAcentral.
CCUACGGGAGGCAGCAGUGAGGAAUAUUGGUCAAUGGCCGGAAGGCUGAACCAGCCAUGCCGCGUGAAGGUCAGUGCCCUAUGGGCGUUAAACUUCUUUUGUGCGGGAGCAAUAAUGGUCACGUGUGGCCAGACGAGAGUACCGUACGAAUAAGCAUCGGCUAACAACGUGCCAGCAGCCGCGGUAAUACGGGGGAUGCAAGCGUUAUCCGGAUUUAUUGGGUUUAAAGGGUGCGUAGGCUGUGAGGUAAGUCAGCGGUGAAAUGCCCACGCUCAACGGGGUGAAGUGCCAUUGAUACUGCCUGGCUGGAAUGCGGAUGCCGUGGGAGGAAUGUGUGGUGUAGCGGUGAAAUGCAUAGAUAUCACACAGAACACCGAUUGCGAAGGCAUCUCACGAAUCCGCGAUUGACGCUGAUGCACGAAAGCGUGGGUAUCAAACAGGAUUAGAUACCCCAGUAGUC